Molecule: unclassified non-coding RNA, 89 nt
Filed under: Pseudomonas corrugata
Lineage: Bacteria; Pseudomonadati; Pseudomonadota; Gammaproteobacteria; Pseudomonadales; Pseudomonadaceae
Source: RNAcentral
GGUGGGAGCGAGCCUGCUCGCGAUGGCGACGCUCAUUCAACACGGAUGUCGAUUGAUCGACCGCCAUCGCGAGCAGGCUCGCUCCCACA